This 495-nucleotide ribosomal RNA is filed under the name uncultured bacterium. Its description in RNAcentral is "partial 16S ribosomal RNA". It matches the Rfam family "Bacterial small subunit ribosomal RNA", at positions 28 to 507 of the family's 1533-position model. The record is from RNAcentral.
GACGAACGCUGGCGGCGUGCCUAAUACAUGCAAGUAGAACGCUGAAGGAGGAGCUUGCUCUUCUGGAUGAGUUGCGAACGGGUGAGUAACGCGUAGGUAACCUGCCUGGUAGCGGGGGAUAACUAUUGGAAACGAUAGCUAAUACCGCAUAAGAGUAGAUGUUGCAUGACAUUUACUUAAAAGGUGCAAUUGCAUCACUACCAGAUGGACCUGCGUUGUAUUAGCUAGUUGGUGGGGUAACGGCUUACCAAGGCGACGAUACAUAGCCGACCUGAGAGGGUGAUCGGCCACACUGGGACUGAGACACGGCCCAGACUCCUACGGGAGGCAGCAGUAGGGAAUCUUCGGCAAUGGACGGAAGUCUGAACGAGCAACGCCGCGUGAGUGAAGAAGGUUUUCGGGUCGUAAAGCUCGGUUGUAAGAGAAGAACGAGUGUGAGAGUGGAAAGUUCACACUGUGACGGUAUCUUACCAGAAAGGGACGGCUAACUACGUG